UGCCCUCGAGAGCUCCCAGCCGGGACAAACGCCGCACACAUCCUUCCGAACUGCCCUGGCUGUGGACGUGCACCCAGCCCAGGGGAGGAGGCUGAGCCGCCUCCACACAGCCCUGGCUCCCCUCCCCAGGGCGAGCAGAUCCAUAAUGUGGUAUCCAAAGUCCAUGAGCACCAUCCUGUGGCUGCAGCUAGUCAGAGUACUGUGACAACAGUAAAAGGUCCUGAGGAUCCCAGUGGCUACAUGCUGAGACUUCAUCAACCAUCCUGAGAGAGCGCUGAAUCUGGUGGGCAGGCCCUGGGACACUGCCAGCAUGGAGGUAGGGUGCCCUGAGUAAAGAGGAAAGACUAGACUUUGUGAUGUUUGGAUCUACCAGCACCUGGAAAUAGCAAGCCUUGGCUGCCUGCCUCUCCUCAGCCUUGCCAAGCUGCCCUGCAGAUGUACAUCCACACCCCUUGAUUUUCCUGCUGGGAGAAUCGCCCGCUGGCCAAACCAAAGCCCCACUCCCUCGCAGGGAGCUGCCUGCAGCAGGGUUGGACAGCUGAGCCAGUGUUGUUCAGGAGCUGGGAUGAGGAUGACUGCAGGAUGCUUCUACGGGAUGUCGGAGGCUGGCUGCACGCAUGGGUGUGGAAUUGCGCAAUUACCUUAAAGCCAAGUAUUAAACAAAA
Neopelma chrysocephalum (saffron-crested tyrant-manakin) is the source of this 665-nucleotide long non-coding RNA. RefSeq lists it as uncharacterized. Lineage: Eukaryota; Metazoa; Chordata; Aves; Passeriformes; Pipridae. The transcript has 4 exons. The record is from RefSeq and is a predicted model, not a curated record.